Molecule: long non-coding RNA, 718 nt
Organism: Capra hircus (goat)
Lineage: Eukaryota; Metazoa; Chordata; Mammalia; Artiodactyla; Bovidae
Exons: 3
Source: RefSeq, a predicted model, not a curated record
CCUCCUUUCCUUUUGGAGUUCAGGGCUUAGAGUUACUGUGGGGCUGGAAGUAAGUCAUUCCUCUUCCUUGAAGUGAUUUUUCUUGACAGGGUUGUUGUCCGCCUCACAGGAUUGCUGUGAGAAUAAAAUGAAAGAUGUGAUAUCUCGAAAUGAUGUAGGUAAACCUCACCUGACCCACAGAGUUGUGGCUGUGAAACUGGGAAGACAGCGCUGAUGUUGGAGAAGGACCUCAUACACCACAGCGUGCUCAUCGGUAGCAUCGUUGUGAAUUUGAGAAUGGCCUAGGAGGAGAGAAAAGGAGGAGAGACAGUGGGCGCCUUCAGCAAAGAAGAAAAGGGAAAACCCCUAGGGAAGAAAGAUUGAGUGGAAGAAAGAGUGGGAGGAGGGAAGAAAAACGGAAGACAUGAAGGAGUAAGAGAAAGAAGGAAAUAGAGGAGUCUGAAUACUCAAGUCCUCUGGAGAACCUGGGAAGACACAUGGCUACCUUCUCUGGGGCACAGAGGUUUGGAGGAGCCUCAGUGUUUGUGUAAGGGGUGUACUUGAGGGCUUGAAGGACCAGAGACACCUGCACUCAUUUCUAUCCCUCCUUCAGAGCUCCCCUGGUUAGCGGGGGAGCUGGGAAGGUAGUAUCCUCAGAGAGGGGCCUAGGGGCAAAACCAGAGUGGAGAGAGGCAACAAGGACCUGUUAGAACUGGAAAGGCGGGAAGGGAAGUGAGAA